Cyprinus carpio (common carp) is the source of this 1552-nucleotide long non-coding RNA. The record is from Ensembl. NCBI's taxonomy places the organism in Eukaryota, Metazoa, Chordata, Actinopteri, Cypriniformes, Cyprinidae.
AAAACUGAACAUAAGGUCUGAUGGUAAUAAUGUUGAGAAAACAAUUUCUACUUAUUUCUCUUUCUUAAACUGACUUACUGUUUCUAUAAAGAUCAAUAAUAGAAAUCUAAAUACUAAACAUAAUGUUUCAUCUUUCAUUUUUUAUAGCGGCACUUGUGUUUCUCGCCUGUGUUCAUUUUAAUGAGCAUAUGCAAAUGCAGAAGUGCAGAAACAGAAUCCUUGAAGACUGAGAUGAAUUCUACUACGCUUGCCAACUGAGGGUGAGUAGGAAUUAAUAGAACUCAUCCAAAUGCUUUCAUUUGAUAACUGCAGCAUUAUGCUUUGAUUACACCAACUUAUAUUCCUCAUGAAAUAGUAAUACCAUCCGACUUAUCCAAUCUGACAGAAACUAUGCAUUUUCUCUUAGUGAUUUCAUAUGAAUAUCUGUCUACUGUAGGACAAGACUAAGAGCUUACUUAAUUUUUUUAGGUCUAUUUUGUACACAGUUUAUCACAAUUUAGCUCUAAUUAUCUGUUGUGCAGCUCUACUAGCCACUUGAUAGCCCAAUAGAGUGAACGCUUAAAUUACUAAAUUAAAUUAAGUCUCAAGUCCUGCUAAAUCAUAUAAUGUCGAAGCUAUAGAUUUAUCUGCAUGUUAAAGUAUGUGUAUGUUGUCUGUGUGCCAUACCUCUUUACUCUCACUGCCAACAAAAUCAUCCUCCAGACGUGCAUCUUUGCGCUCUCCUUCUGUUACCAGCUUGUGACCUUUAAGGCCAAAGGUGAAAUCCUCAACAGGGUUGCUGCUAGCCUGAUUCUUUCUGGCUGAGUGCGGGCAUGAGGAGAAAGUGAAGACUUCCUCUUAGUUUUCAUCAUCGCAGAGAGAGAGCUCAGUUUCUGUGUCACAAAGGGCAGCAUCAUCUGUAGUCAGCAGACGCUCUGGAGGUGAAGCAGCACAUGGAGGUUUGAAGGCUGACCCAGAUGUAUCUGCACUAGAAGCACAGUCUGCAGAAAUAUGACAGGAAGAUUUACAGAUGUGCUGCUCUUCCUGGUGGUGAGCGGAGGGGGUCUGAUAACUUUUGACCCGAAAGCAAUAUGGGACGAGUCCUGCGGUGUAGGACCCCUUGUGAUGGAUGCUUUGACACCAGGUGUCUCUUCUAGUAAACAGACAUGCACAAAACACUUACAAAAUCUUAGCUGAUAUAACCCUAUAAACCCCACAUUUAUAUUUGAUAUGCAAAUUUCUGAGGCUUCUNAGACCCGAAAGCAAUAUGGGACGAGUCCUGCGGUGUAGGACCCGUUGUGAUGGAUGCUUUGACACCAGCUGUCUCUUCUAGUAAACAGACAUGCACAAAACACUUACAAAAUCUUAGCUGAUAUAACCCUAUAAACCCCACAUUUAUAUUUGAUAUGCAAAUUUCUGAGGCUUCUAAAUUAUAUAAAAUGUAAUACAAUAAGUUUUAAAUUUAUUAAAGCUACAAAGCCUUGGUUAUAAAACUAAGUAUUUAAAUAUCAUCUUACUAAGAAAUAUUAUUGGGCGAAAUAAAGUGAUUACUGAUAUUUGUAAGUAGUUUGAU